This is a long non-coding RNA of Mastomys coucha (southern multimammate mouse), 323 nucleotides long. RefSeq lists it as uncharacterized. NCBI's taxonomy places the organism in Eukaryota, Metazoa, Chordata, Mammalia, Rodentia, Muridae. The record is from RefSeq and is a predicted model, not a curated record. The transcript is spliced from 3 exons.
AUGGGAGACAGAGAAGCAGUGUGGUUCCUGUGCUGUGGAAAGAGGUAGAACUGGAGAUACAAGGAUGAUGAGUGUCCAUAAAAUAGGAAACAAUCAGUUGGAUUGGAUUCAUAUUUCAUAUAGAAAAACCUCAAGAAGGAGUUGGCUCAAGGGCAUUUCAAAGCCACAGUCGAUGUCAUUGUAACCGUGUAGAUGAAGGAGUAUGGAUGCUCAUCUUGGAGGUCAGAUGUGGCCUGCUGUGUGUCUUCUCUUGCCUGGUUCUGAUUAGCCAAGGCUCUCUAGGAAGCAUAUUUGGAGCAAGGUGAUUAUAAUGCUCUCAUAGA